Molecule: non-coding RNA, 310 nt
Organism: Pelobates cultripes (western spadefoot toad)
Lineage: Eukaryota; Metazoa; Chordata; Amphibia; Anura; Pelobatidae
Source: the annotation of a GenBank genome assembly
AGUAGGAUCCAUGCCUGGUUGGCCACCCAGUAAUCAGCACAAGUUAGAAUGUGGGCAACUCAGCAAUCGUUGCGCAGGCAUUUUGGUGACUCUAGAUAACCUCGGGCCGAUCGCACGCCCCCGUGAUGGCGACGACGCAUUCGGAUGUCUGCCCUAUCAACUUUCGAUGGUACUUUCUGCGCUUACCAUGGUGACCACGGGUAACGUGGAAUCAGGGUUCGAUUCCAUUGAGGCAGCCUGCGAAAUGGCUACCACAUCCAAGGAAGGCAGCAGGCACGCAAAUUACCCACUGCCGAUUCGGGGAGGUAGU